AACGAACGCUGGCGGCAUGCCUAACACAUGCAAGUCGAACGAGACCUUCGGGUCUAGUGGCGCACGGGUGCGUAACGCGUGGGAAUCUGCCCUUGGGUUCGGAAUAACAGUUGGAAACGACUGCUAAUACCGGAUGAUGACGUAAGUCCAAAGAUUUAUCGCCCAGGGAUGAGCCCGCGUAGGAUUAGCUAGUUGGUGGGGUACAGGCCUACCAAGGCGGCGAUCCUUAGCUGGUCUGAGAGGAUGAUCAGCCACACUGGGACUGAGACACGGCCCAGACUCCUACGGGAGGCAGCAGUGGGGAAUAUUGGACAAUGGGCGAAAGCCUGAUCCAGCAAUGCCGCGUGAGUGAUGAAGGCCUUAGGGUUGUAAAGCUCUUUUACCCGGGAUGAUAAGGACAGUACCGGGAGAAUAAGCCCCGGCUAACUCCGU
Molecule: ribosomal RNA, 432 nt
Filed under: uncultured bacterium
Lineage: Bacteria
Description: partial 16S ribosomal RNA
Rfam family: Bacterial small subunit ribosomal RNA
Source: RNAcentral